Molecule: ribosomal RNA, 2932 nt
Filed under: Escherichia coli
Lineage: Bacteria; Pseudomonadati; Pseudomonadota; Gammaproteobacteria; Enterobacterales; Enterobacteriaceae
Description: bacterial LSU rRNA
Rfam family: Bacterial large subunit ribosomal RNA
Source: RNAcentral
GGGUUGUGAGGUUAAGUGACUAAGCGUACACGGUGGAUGCCCUGGCAGUCAGAGGCGAUGAAGGACGUGCUAAUCUGCGAUAAGCGUCGGUAAGGUGAUAUGAACCGUUAUAACCGGCGAUUUCCGAAUGGGGAAACCCAGUGUGAUUCGUCACACUAUCAUUAACUGAAUCCAUAGGUUAAUGAGGCGAACCGGGGGAACUGAAACAUCUAAGUACCCCGAGGAAAAGAAAUCAACCGAGAUUCCCCCAGUAGCGGCGAGCGAACGGGGAGGAGCCCAGAGCCUGAAUCAGUGUGUGUGUUAGUGGAAGCGUCUGGAAAGGCGCGCGAUACAGGGUGACAGCCCCGUACACAAAAAUGCACAUGCUGUGAGCUCGAUGAGUAGGGCGGGACACGUGGUAUCCUGUCUGAAUAUGGGGGGACCAUCCUCCAAGGCUAAAUACUCCUGACUGACCGAUAGUGAACCAGUACCGUGAGGGAAAGGCGAAAAGAACCCCGGCGAGGGGAGUGAAAAAGAACCUGAAACCGUGUACGUACAAGCAGUGGGAGCACAGAGCAAUCUGUGUGACUGCGUACCUUUUGUAUAAUGGGUCAGCGACUUAUAUUCUGUAGCAAGGUUAACCGAAUAGGGGAGCCGAAGGGAAACCGAGUCUUAACUGGGCGUUAAGUUGCAGGGUAUAGACCCGAAACCCGGUGAUCUAGCCAUGGGCAGGUUGAAGGUUGGGUAACACUAACUGGAGGACCGAACCGACUAAUGUUGAAAAAUUAGCGGAUGACUUGUGGCUGGGGGUGAAAGGCCAAUCAAACCGGGAGAUAGCUGGUUCUCCCCGAAAGCUAUUUAGGUAGCGCCUCGUGAAUUCAUCUCCGGGGGUAGAGCACUGUUUCGGCAAGGGGGUCAUCCCGACUUACCAACCCGAUGCAAACUGCGAAUACCGGAGAAUGUUAUCACGGGAGACACACGGCGGGUGCUAACGUCCGUCGUGAAGAGGGAAACAACCCAGACCGCCAGCUAAGGUCCCAAAGUCAUGGUUAAGUGGGAAACGAUGUGGGAAGGCCCAGACAGCCAGGAUGUUGGCUUAGAAGCAGCCAUCAUUUAAAGAAAGCGUAAUAGCUCACUGGUCGAGUCGGCCUGCGCGGAAGAUGUAACGGGGCUAAACCAUGCACCGAAGCUGCGGCAGCGACACUAUGUGUUGUUGGGUAGGGGAGCGUUCUGUAAGCCUGUGAAGGUGUGCUGUGAGGCAUGCUGGAGGUAUCAGAAGUGCGAAUGCUGACAUAAGUAACGAUAAAGCGGGUGAAAAGCCCGCUCGCCGGAAGACCAAGGGUUCCUGUCCAACGUUAAUCGGGGCAGGGUGAGUCGACCCCUAAGGCGAGGCCGAAAGGCGUAGUCGAUGGGAAACAGGUUAAUAUUCCUGUACUUGGUGUUACUGCGAAGGGGGGACGGAGAAGGCUAUGUUGGCCGGGCGACGGUUGUCCCGGUUUAAGCGUGUAGGCUGGUUUUCCAGGCAAAUCCGGAAAAUCAAGGCUGAGGCGUGAUGACGAGGCACUACGGUGCUGAAGCAACAAAUGCCCUGCUUCCAGGAAAAGCCUCUAAGCAUCAGGUAACAUCAAAUCGUACCCCAAACCGACACAGGUGGUCAGGUAGAGAAUACCAAGGCGCUUGAGAGAACUCGGGUGAAGGAACUAGGCAAAAUGGUGCCGUAACUUCGGGAGAAGGCACGCUGAUAUGUAGGUGAAGCGACUUGCUCGUGGAGCUGAAAUCAGUCGAAGAUACCAGCUGGCUGCAACUGUUUAUUAAAAACACAGCACUGUGCAAACACGAAAGUGGACGUAUACGGUGUGACGCCUGCCCGGUGCCGGAAGGUUAAUUGAUGGGGUUAGCGCAAGCGAAGCUCUUGAUCGAAGCCCCGGUAAACGGCGGCCGUAACUAUAACGGUCCUAAGGUAGCGAAAUUCCUUGUCGGGUAAGUUCCGACCUGCACGAAUGGCGUAAUGAUGGCCAGGCUGUCUCCACCCGAGACUCAGUGAAAUUGAACUCGCUGUGAAGAUGCAGUGUACCCGCGGCAAGACGGAAAGACCCCGUGAACCUUUACUAUAGCUUGACACUGAACAUUGAGCCUUGAUGUGUAGGAUAGGUGGGAGGCUUUGAAGUGUGGACGCCAGUCUGCAUGGAGCCGACCUUGAAAUACCACCCUUUAAUGUUUGAUGUUCUAACGUUGACCCGUAAUCCGGGUUGCGGACAGUGUCUGGUGGGUAGUUUGACUGGGGCGGUCUCCUCCUAAAGAGUAACGGAGGAGCACGAAGGUUGGCUAAUCCUGGUCGGACAUCAGGAGGUUAGUGCAAUGGCAUAAGCCAGCUUGACUGCGAGCGUGACGGCGCGAGCAGGUGCGAAAGCAGGUCAUAGUGAUCCGGUGGUUCUGAAUGGAAGGGCCAUCGCUCAACGGAUAAAAGGUACUCCGGGGAUAACAGGCUGAUACCGCCCAAGAGUUCAUAUCGACGGCGGUGUUUGGCACCUCGAUGUCGGCUCAUCACAUCCUGGGGCUGAAGUAGGUCCCAAGGGUAUGGCUGUUCGCCAUUUAAAGUGGUACGCGAGCUGGGUUUAGAACGUCGUGAGACAGUUCGGUCCCUAUCUGCCGUGGGCGCUGGAGAACUGAGGGGGGCUGCUCCUAGUACGAGAGGACCGGAGUGGACGCAUCACUGGUGUUCGGGUUGUCAUGCCAAUGGCACUGCCCGGUAGCUAAAUGCGGAAGAGAUAAGUGCUGAAAGCAUCUAAGCACGAAACUUGCCCCGAGAUGAGUUCUCCCUGACUCCUUGAGAGUCCUGAAGGAACGUUGAAGACGACGACGUUGAUAGGCCGGGUGUGUAAGCGCAGCGAUGCGUUGAGCUAACCGGUACUAAUGAACCGUGAGGCUUAACCUUACAACGCCGAAGGUGUUU